Vicugna pacos (alpaca) is the source of this 1834-nucleotide non-coding RNA. The record is from RefSeq and is a predicted model, not a curated record. NCBI's taxonomy places the organism in Eukaryota, Metazoa, Chordata, Mammalia, Artiodactyla, Camelidae.
UGCGGACAUGCAGUGCGUAAGGCCCUGGGGCCUAGGGAGACCGCGGAGGAGAAGCGUAAUGAUCACGUUCAGCCUGGAGGGAUGUGUCUGGGCAGGCAAGCCCAGGCCUCUGGGCUCCACAGUCCCAGGUCACCUUUGCUGUGACCCAGGGCCUCCACAAGAACCCUGGCCUCCAGGCCCUGACCUGCUGACCGCGUGUAGGGGCCGCACCUCCGAUGGGCCCCCAGGCUCUGCAGAGGGAAGCUGCGGAUGCCAGGGGCUGAGUGGCCAGCAGGUGGGGGACAGAGACAGAGCGUUUGAUGCUGGAAGCCACCCGUGGGACGCCGCCGUGGUGAGGCCUGCGCAGGGCUGGGUGACGAUGACUCCUUGCCCAGGGCCUGCAGCCAUCUCCUGAGAGCGGACAUCCGAGACCCUGGCCAGCGAGCGGAACCACCAGGGAGGCUGCCUUUGGCCGGAGGUGGGGAAGCACUUUCCAACAAUUGUCCGAAAAUAGAACGGGCCCGCUCCCGAGGAAAUGAGCCCCUGUCACGGGAAGGGAGCAAGUGGGAGCAGGGAGCCUGCUGAGCAGGGAGGGGCUCCAGGCCUCCGACCCCUAGAGGCCCCGGGCCCUCAGUUUCUCCCUCUCACACCCCGAAGGCUUGAGGGGUGGGGCAGAGAGGGCAGGCCCUGGCGCAGGCCUGGCCCCAGCGUGCUGCCUGGAGGAGGGGCUCACUUCCUCCCUGGACCCUGGUGUGCCAGCAGAGAUCAGAUGGGGUGGGAGCCGAUGUCCCAUCUCGGCCGCAGGGCCCCUCUCCGUUCAGUUCGGGUCGAAGGCCGGUCACACUCCGCCGUCGCUGGGCUCAGCAGCCCCCACCCUGAGCACCUAGGCCCCCGGGGCCAGGCUGGGGAGCCCAGAGCCCACCUCUGGUGGAAAGCAGGAAGACGGAAUCACAGUCCUCCUGGUGACAUGCUGUGGCUUCCACGCCUUCGAGAGGCUUCCAGGGGGCAGGAGGCUCGUGUCAACCCUGGAGAGCUGGGCGGAGAGAAGCUGGGUGCCCCUGAUCCCUCUGCCUGGCCCGCCUCUGUGGCAUCCUGGGGUUCCAGGGAAUAUAGUUGGAGAACCAGGGCAAGGGGCCGUGGACUAAGGCAUAGGGAGCCCCAGGCCCAGCUCCACCUCCCCGCCACCCAGCACCUCGGCAGAUUCCAAGGUCUCCCAGGAAUGGCUGAGGCUGGGUUUCCUCGUUAAGGAGGCUGGUGGCAGCCCCAGGGGCACCAGGGACCAGUUGGCAUGGUAGGGGGAGGAGGGCUGAGGUCAAGGGCUGGUGGGGCAGGGGUCACAGCCGACAUCAGGGGGACUGUGAUGGGGCCUGGGUGGGGAGGGUCUCUUCGCCAGGCACAGUGCUUCCUCUGGGGGCAGCAGACCAAGACCCUCCAUCUUUCUCCCCUCCUAGGGCUAAGUGGGGUGGGAAGGGGUGAGGACACCGAAACAGUGCCCCCUGCGCCUCCCUGCCUGUCCUGGGCAGCCCUGACGCCACCUCUUCCGUCUCGCUGUCCCUACACACCAUCAGAAUCCCCCCCACACUGUCGGGGGGUCCACGAGGUUUUGUUUCCUGUUUCAGCUGGUUCAAGUUCCCUGCAAAGACCACGUAUUAGGUUUAAAAUUAGAGACACACCUUCAUGCACUUUUUUUCCUUCCUUUUCUUUUCUUCCUUAAUGGAGGUACCAGGGAUUGAACCGAGGAUUGAACCGAGGACUUUGUGCAUGCUAAGCACGUGCUCCACCUCUGGGCUCUACCCACCCUCACACACUUUUCUUAAAAGUAAAUACGUGUAAAUAAAUGUCCUAGAGAUUCUAA